Molecule: long non-coding RNA, 3029 nt
Filed under: Homo sapiens (human)
Lineage: Eukaryota; Metazoa; Chordata; Mammalia; Primates; Hominidae
Description: novel transcript
Source: RNAcentral
AAGUGAUUCUCCUGCCUCAGCCUCUGGAAUAGCUGGGAUUAUAGGCAUGUGCCACCAUGCCUGGCUAAUUUUGUAUUUUUAGCAGAGACGGGGUUUCUCCAUGUUGGUCAGCCUGGUCUCAAACUCCCGACCUCAGGUGAUCUGCCUGCCUCAGCCUCCCAAAGUGUUGGAAUUACAGGCGUGAGCCACCGCGUCCAGCCCAACUGGGGGUUUCUUCUGGUCCCAGCUGAGCUUACUCAUGAUUUUGCAGUCAGCUGUGUGUUUGAAGCUCUGCUGACCUUGACUUAUCUAUGUUUGGAGGUUGGCUGGCAAUGGACACACUGGGAAAACUGCACUUCCAUAUGUGGUUUCUCAUUCUCCAGCAGGCUAGCCCACGCCAGGAGAGAAGCAUGCAAGUCAUCUAGAGGUCCGGGCUUGAAUCUGGCACUUCUAUUGCAUUCAGUUGGCCAAAGUGAAUGGCAGGCCAUCCUAGAUUGAUGGGAAGGAAACUUCAUCUCUUGAUGGGACUGACUGCCAUGUCAUGUUGUGAAGGGCAGGGAAUCCACAUAGUUUACUGUCCAGUCCAGAACAUCACUCCACCUUUCUCCUGCCAGAGCUACGCUCUUCUUACUCCUGAGUCGGCAGAGGAUGUGCUAGAGGGCAACCUCAGACUCUGAUGGUGCAGUAAGAGUCAAGGAUGAACGACCAGACCCUAGCUCACUGGCCCCCCCUUUUUUUUUUUUGAGACAGGGUCUUGCUCUGUCAUCCAGGCUGGAGUACAGUGGUGCGAUCUCAGCUCACUGCAACCUCUGCCUCCCUGGUUCAAGUGAGUCUCAUGCCUCAGCCACCCAAGUAGUUGGGUUUAUAGUCAUGAGCCAGUACACCUGGCUAAUUUUUGUAUUUUUAGUAGAGAAGAGGUUUCACUAUGUUGGUCAGGUUGGUCUUAAACUCCUGGCCUCCAGUGAUCUGCCCACCUUGGCCUCCCAAAUUUCUGGGAUUAUGGGCAUGAGCCACAGCACCUGGCCGCCCCCUGGCCACUAUUAGGAGGUUGGCAUGACAGAUGAGCAGCCAAUAUCCACUCUUCCCUCCUGCCUGAGAAUGGGCCUAGGAGUACAGUCUGAACCUCUGAGCCACCCAAAUCACUGCCAUUCUGGGGGAAUCUACCAUCAAUCCUAACUUCAAAAGGGAAACUAGAAAUCAGGGAGGUGAAGGCAAUAGGGCUGGCAACUCACCUUCUUUCCACAAACAGGAAGGAUUGAGGCCACUUUAUGGAGAUGGUGACAGUAAUAUGUCUUCGAUACCUGUUGUGUGGUCUGCCAGGUACUCAUUCCCAUUUCCUUCUGAAAGUGUAACUCCAAUUUCUCUUGGAAAACUAUCCCUUGUAGCAUAUCCAUCCUUGUAGCAUAUCCAUCCAUCCAUCCAUUGUAGCAUAUCCAUCCUUGUAGCAUAUCCAUCCAUCCAUCCAUUGAUCCAUUGAUCCAUCCAUCCAUCCAUGCAUCUGUCCGUCCAACAAAACUUGGUUGUGUUCCAGUGAUGCCCCAGCUCCUGGGGAUACAGAAACGAACAAGAAAAAGUUCCUGCAUUCAAGAAGUCUACCCUCUGGAGGUAUAAAGCAUGUAAAUAAUCAGACACAAUGCAAAUCCAGAUGAUUAGUGUUAAUGAGGAGGUCAAGCAGAGUGAGAGGACAGAGACUGGGUAAGGUCUCUGGAGAAGUGACAUCCAGUGAGACCUGAAUGAUGGGAAGACCUGGGGGAAGAGCACCCCGAGUCUUUAAUCAUCUGUGCAAAGGCCUAAGACAAGAGAAUCUUCCUCAAGAAGCCACUUUCCGGGGCCUCUUGACUAGAGAAGUGUGUGGACAGAAACCCCAGGCAGAGGUGAGUAAGACAGAAGGGUAGCUGGUGCAGGACGGGUUGGCUGCCAGCUAAAUGCCCUGCCUCUCUCAACCCCUCUUACUCUACCACGUCUCUGUCUCAUUUCUCUUCCCCACCCCUACCUUUCCAGUGCUGGCUCUUCUGGUUGCUGUCCAGUUCCCAGUGCUGAACACCACCUUCCCCAAUGUGGAGCUUCCUCAUUCCCAGCCCAGUCACUUCCUGCUCACCCCCACCUCUUUCUGGGGACACUGGGUACAGGGAAGCACAGUGACAGGACCUCUCCCUAGGCAUGGAGAAAGGGUCUCGGGACUUUAGGGCCUUGGGUCUCCUUAGAGAAGCAUCUGGUCCUCUUUUACUUUAUAAUAUUCAUUCAUUCAAUGAGCAUUUAUUUAGUACUUGCUCUGUGCUGGCACUUUUUAGCAUCUGGGGACACAAAUGAGGAAAUACUCAGAUUCUGCCAGCAAGGAGCCAGAAGAAGGAAGAGACCGGCUAGCAAAGGUGACUGCAUAAGAUCAGCCCUCCUUCAAGGGGCCUACUGAGAACCUCUGGAGGAAACUCUGGUAGAGGAGGUGGAGAAUUGGUGGGGGUGGGAUGGAAGAAUGGUACCCUAGGAUGCUGGUACUUCUGUGCUCAGCGCUCACCCACAGUGGCCCUGAGGGGCCUGUGUCUUGCUCCCUGUGCUGCAUCCCUUACCCCAGCUCCAGGAGGUUCACUCCACCAUGCUCGCCCCAGCCCCCUCACCCAGCGCACCCUCCAACCUCCCAUUGGAUGGCAUCUUCCUCUGCUCCUCAGCCCCUGGGGUGCCUCCUCCCUGCCCACUGGCUAGAGGCUGAGCUGGUCUUGGUGGUACUCAAGGCCCCAGCGCUCACCCUGCCUCUAGAGUCACCUCAUCCACGAACACCGCAGCCCCUGGGUCUCCCCUGUCUGGGCCUCCCUCCAUUCUGGGCUCCAGCUCUGUAGUCACCCUCGGCUCCAAAUGUGGGAUCUUUUCUGUGCCCUUGGAGUGCAAGGACCUUCAUCUCUUUGCUUCUCAUAUAGACCCAAAUAAGAGGAUCAUGCUGGGUGGGGUGGCUCAUGCCUUUAAUCCCAGCACUUUGGGAGGCUGAGGUGGGCAGAUCACCUGAGGUUGGGAGUUUGAGACCUGCCUGACCAACAUGGAGAAACCCUGUCUCUACUAAA